RNAcentral lists this ribosomal RNA (264 nucleotides) under uncultured bacterium. RNAcentral describes it as "partial 16S ribosomal RNA". It matches the Rfam family "Bacterial small subunit ribosomal RNA", at positions 333 to 588 of the family's 1533-position model. The record is from RNAcentral.
UUUGGCCUACGGGACGCAGCAGUAGGGAAUCUUCGGCAAUGGGGGCAACCCUGACCGAGCAACGCCGUGUGAGUGAAGAAGGUUUUCGGAUCGUAAAGCUCUGUUGUAAGAGAAGAACGUGUGUGAGAGUGGAAAGUUCACACAGUGACGGUAACUUACCAGAAAGGGACGGCUAACUACGUGCCAGCAGCCGCGGUAAUACGUAGGUCCCGAGCGUUAUCCGGAUUUAUUGGGCGUAAAGCGAGCGCAGGCGGUUGGAUCAGU